GGCGGAGGGAAGCUCAUCCAUGGGGCUACAAACUGAGUGCUGCUCAUCACUCUUAUCUCCUCGUUCCCUGGGAAGGUCUGAGACUGGGGCCACCUAGUGGUCCUAACAGGGCCCUCCCUGAGCCCCGGGGAGGUGAGUUCCCAGAGAACGGGGCUCCAUGCUAUGGCAGACUGGGCAGGAGAACAGUGUUAAAUGGUAGUAGUAUUUUAUUCCAGACUUAAAUGAGAAUGAUUUUAUAAUUUAAUAUUAUACAUGACGAUGAUGACUUUGUCCUUAUAGAUUAAGUAGCGUAGUAAAGAUGUAUCUAUUUUCUUCUAGAAUUUUUUUUCAAUUAAGAUUGAACGCU
This 346-nucleotide RNase P RNA is filed under the name Erinaceus europaeus (western European hedgehog). RNAcentral describes it as "Nuclear RNase P". It matches the Rfam family "Nuclear RNase P", at positions 1 to 223 of the family's 301-position model. From Rfam's summary of the family: Ribonuclease P (RNase P) is a ubiquitous endoribonuclease, found in archaea, bacteria and eukarya as well as chloroplasts and mitochondria. Its best characterised activity is the generation of mature 5'-ends of tRNAs by cleaving the 5'-leader elements of precursor-tRNAs. Lineage: Eukaryota; Metazoa; Chordata; Mammalia; Eulipotyphla; Erinaceidae. The record is from Rfam by way of RNAcentral.